UCUACGGGUGGCUGCAGUGAGGAAUAUUGGUCAAUGGCCGAGAGGCUGAACCAGCCAAGUCGCGUGAGGGAAGAAUGUCCUAUGGAUUGUAAACCUCUUUUGUCAGGGAGCAAAGUCACCCACGUGUGGGUGUUGGAGAGUACCUGAAGAAAAAGCAUCGGCUAACUCCGUGCCAGCAGCCGCGGUAAUACGGAGGAUGCGAGCGUUAUCCGGAUUUAUUGGGUUUAAAGGGAGCGUAGGUGGAUUGUUAAGUCAGUUGUGAAAGUUUGCGGCUCAACCCCGUCGUGCCGUUGAAACUGGCGUUCUUGAGUGCGCGAGAAGUAUGCGGAAUGCGUGGUGUAGCGGUGAAAUGCAUAGAUAUCACGCAGAACUCCGAUUGCGAAGGCAGCAUACCGGCGCUCAACUGACGCUCAUGCACGAAAGCGUGGGUAUCGAACAGGAUUAGAUACCCCGGUAGUC
RNAcentral lists this ribosomal RNA (459 nucleotides) under uncultured bacterium. Its description in RNAcentral is "partial 16S ribosomal RNA". It matches the Rfam family "Bacterial small subunit ribosomal RNA", at positions 338 to 795 of the family's 1533-position model. The record is from RNAcentral.